CGGGGUGUGGCGCAGUUGGUAGCGCGCAUGGCUGGGGGUCAUGAGGUCGUGGGUUCAAGUCCCGCCACCCCGACCA
RNAcentral lists this transfer RNA (76 nucleotides) under Candidatus Altimarinota bacterium. RNAcentral describes it as "tRNA-Pro". It matches the Rfam family "tRNA". From Rfam's summary of the family: Transfer RNA (tRNA) molecules are approximately 80 nucleotides in length. Their secondary structure includes four short double-helical elements and three loops (D, anti-codon, and T loops). The record is from RNAcentral. Lineage: Bacteria; Candidatus Altimarinota.